This 493-nucleotide ribosomal RNA is filed under the name uncultured bacterium. RNAcentral's name for it is "partial 16S ribosomal RNA". It matches the Rfam family "Bacterial small subunit ribosomal RNA", at positions 29 to 523 of the family's 1533-position model. The record is from RNAcentral.
AUUGAACGCUGGCGGCAUGCUUUACACAUGCAAGUCGAACGGUAACAGGUUAAGCUGACGAGUGGCGAACGGGUGAGUAAUGCAUCGGAACGUGCCCGGUCGUGGGGGAUAACGCAGCGAAAGCUGCGCUAAUACCGCAUACGAUCUGAGGAUGAAAGCGGGGGACCGUAAGGCCUCGCGCGAUCGGAGCGGCCGAUGUCAGAUUAGGUAGUUGGUGGGGUAAAGGCUCACCAAGCCAACGAUCUGUAGCUGGUCUGAGAGGACGACCAGCCACAAUGGGAAUGAGACACGGCCCAGACUCCUACGGGAGGCAGCAGUGGGGAAUUUUGGACAAUGGGCGAAGGCCUGAUCCAGCAAUGCCGCGUGCAGGAAGAAGGCCUUCGGGUUGUAAACUGCUUUUGUACGGAGCGAAAAGGUCUCCUCUAAUACAGGGGGCUCAUGACGGUACCGUAAGAAUAAGCACCGGCUAACUACGUGCCAGCAGCCGCCGUAA